GGUCGGAUUGCGGCCUGAUUGAACGCUGGCGGGAUGCUUUAAGACAUGCAAGUCGAAACCGGCACGGACUUCGGUCUGGUGGCGAGGGAAGCGAACAGGUGAGAAUGAAUGGAACGCCUAGGUAUGGGGAUAACUAUGCGAAAGCGUAGCUAAUACUGCACGUUCGGGGAAAGCGGGGACCUUCGCCCCCGCACUAUUAGAGCGGCCGAUAAUGGAUUAGCUAGUUGGUGGGGUAACGCUCACCAAGGCGACGAUCCGUAGCUGGUUUGAGAGGACGAACCAGCCACACUCGGGACUGAGACACGCUCCAGACUCCUACGGAGGCAGCAGUGGGGAAUUUUUGACAGUGGGAAACCCUGAUCCAGCCAUCCUGCGUGUGCUAGGCGAUGAAGGCCUUCGGGGUUGUAAAGCACUUUUGGCAGGAAAGAAACGGCACGGGAUAAUACCCGCAACUGACGGUACUCGUAGAAUAAGCACCGGCUAACUACGUGCCAGCAGCCGCAGCAUGUAGGGUAAGCGUUAAUCGGAAUUACCGGCGUAAAGGUGCAGCAGGCGGUUCGAAAGAAAGAUGUGAACCUAGAGCUUAACUUUGGAACUGGGUGAGAAUCACCGAGCUAGAGGUCAGAGGAGGAAUUUUAUGGGGGAGUGAAAUGCGUAGAUAUGGAGGAACAUUCGAUGGCGAAGGCAGCCUCCUUGACACUGACGCUCAUGCACGAGCGUGGGGGAGCAAACAGGAUUAGAUACUCCUGGCAGUCCACGCCCCAAACGAUGUCAACUAUUGUUAGCUCGGGCUCGGGUAGCGCAGCUAACGCGUUAUGAAGCCGACCGCCCGUAGAGCAUGGGAAUGAUUAAAACUCAAAGGAAUCGACGGGACCCGCAAUAAGCGGUGAUGAUGGACGAAAUUCUGAUGCAACGCGAAAACCUGGCCUACCCUGACAUGUCUGAAUCCCGAAGAGAUUUGGAGUGCUCGCAGAGAACCGGAACACAGGUGCUGCAUGGCUGUCGUCAGUCGCCGUAGAUGCUGUUGUCCCGGCAACGAGCGCAACCCUUGUCAUUAGUUGCUGCUGAAAGGGCACUGAUGAGAUCACAGACAAACCGGAGGAAGGUGGGGAUGACGUCAAGUCCCCUUGGCCCUUAUGGGUAGGGUUUACGUCAUGGCUAAAUGGUCGACAAAGAGGUCGCCAACCUGCGAGGGGGAGCCAAUCCCAGAAACCCGAUCGUAGUCCGGAUCGCGUCUGCAACCGACUGCGCGAAGUCGAAUCGCUAACUGCAAUCGCGGAUCAGUAUGUCAGAAUAGCGUUCCUGGUCUUGUACACACCGCCCGCUUACCAUGGGAGUGGGUUUACUGGCAUGAGUUACCUAAUCCGUGUAACAUGGGCGAUUACUGCUAAUGGUAUAGAUUCAUGACCGGGGGUGAAGUCGUAACAAGGUGCAAU
This 1436-nucleotide ribosomal RNA is filed under the name uncultured Bordetella sp. RNAcentral describes it as "partial 16S-23S ribosomal RNA intergenic spacer". It matches the Rfam family "Bacterial small subunit ribosomal RNA". Lineage: Bacteria; Pseudomonadati; Pseudomonadota; Betaproteobacteria; Burkholderiales; Alcaligenaceae. The record is from RNAcentral.